This 1081-nucleotide long non-coding RNA is filed under the name Phascolarctos cinereus (koala). RNAcentral describes it as "lncRNA (ENSPCIG00000007101.2)". Lineage: Eukaryota; Metazoa; Chordata; Mammalia; Diprotodontia; Phascolarctidae. The record is from RNAcentral.
CACAGCUACAAUCAGGCUUCUGGAGAUGGGAACACCUUAUCGUAAUUACACACUCCAGUUCAUACUAGGACUGGAUAUAGUUUGUGACUCUCACAUGAACUUAACUCAUGCUUUUGGAAAUCUCUGUGGGUUUAGCCAACACUGAGCAUACAGCCAUAAGGAAAAGCCAGAGAAAUCCAAAAGAGCCUACUGCAUUUAUCCCACACAUUCCUGAGCUACCAAGUCUGUGGACUCUGUAUCUUGGCACUGUUAGGAGUCAGGAUAUGUGCCCAGGAAUGAGCUUUCACAGACCCCCCCUCAUGUCUGAGAAGAUCAGAAGUCUAAAGAGGGAAUUUGAAGCACUAGAUUCAGAAAUCCUUAACUAUGGUCCUCAUCAGUGCAUGGAAGAGGUGGAUCUUAACUGGCAAGACUUCAAAGGCUAUAUAAAUGUCAGGUUACAAAGUAUUUCAGUCAUUAUAUAUGUGUUUGCAUCUGUGUGCUGGUGAGUGUAUUUGCCUGUUAUUAUAGCUGUGAAUAUCACUGAGUAUAGCUCCUUGAAAGGGCUGGGUAUAGUUACUGGAAAACUCUACCUGGUUAUACAAUAUACUUAACCUAUUCAUUAGAAUGGAAAGAAAAUACCAGCUCAAAGCAAAAAUACUAGUGUAGGACUAAGGGUAUGCUGGGGACUAGAGCCAGUUGUUAAAUUUUUAGCAAACAUUUACAUCUCAGAAAUUGGCAUAUGCUACAAAUCAGAUCUUAAUUUGUUGUUUUCCUGAUUGUCUAGACUUAAGAAAGUGAUGGAGAAAAUGUUAAAAAUACUGCUCAAACUUAAAAGUUUGUGAAGAGUACAUUUUUUUUCUCUCAAAGAGCCAGUUGUUAAAUAUUUACCAGCACACUACUGGAGAGGACAAUAACAAUUUUUUUUUUACUGAAUCUGAAUAAGACAAUUUAUACUGAUAUUUGGAAAACACAGCUAACAUAACUAGGUUUUCACAAGUCAAAAUUGCUGCCAAUUUGGGGGUGGGGGUGGGGAUGGGAAGUUUCCUUACCUUUAGGGAGAGAAAGAUGAGCUAACUUGAAUAAAUUAAGAAGUGUGAUACCA